Molecule: RNase P RNA, 288 nt
Filed under: Candidatus Bathyarchaeota archaeon
Lineage: Archaea; Thermoproteati; Candidatus Bathyarchaeota
Description: RNase P RNA component
Rfam family: Archaeal RNase P
About the family: Ribonuclease P (RNase P) is a ubiquitous endoribonuclease, found in archaea, bacteria and eukarya as well as chloroplasts and mitochondria. Its best characterised activity is the generation of mature 5'-ends of tRNAs by cleaving the 5'-leader elements of precursor-tRNAs.
Source: RNAcentral
GUGAGCUGGGGGGCGACUGUCGGGCCGCUGGUCUGAGGAAACUCCAUCCACUAAGUAGGGCUGCGAUGUCGUGAGGCAUAGGGGGAGACCCUUGGCAAUGGACAGAAACGAUACCUCCCGUGGCAUGCGAUGAUUCCUUGGAGGAUGAGGUCGCUACGGGCUUGGGUGAGACGACUAACCCGCAGGGUGCAAGGGCAAAUAGGCGCCGAUACCCUCCUACAGGGGGCGCGGGUAGCCUGCAUAGCUAAAUGUCGCCAAAGGACAGAAGAUGGGUUACACCCUGCACAC